This 4322-nucleotide long non-coding RNA is filed under the name Gossypium barbadense (sea-island cotton). RNAcentral's name for it is "long non-coding RNA (GBAR_LNC012816)". Lineage: Eukaryota; Viridiplantae; Streptophyta; Magnoliopsida; Malvales; Malvaceae. The record is from RNAcentral.
GAAAUAUGCAGCAAAGAAAGGGUUUUGAAGCUGGAAAAUUUCAGCAACAUAUUUCCCUUGCUUGUAAGUGAUUUUAAUGUCUUUGUUUGAUGAUUUUUGUAUUUUUGGAACCCCUAAAGCAUAAGCUUUCAUAAGAGGGGAUUAUUUUGCAAAAUGAUGAAGAGUCUAGGGUUUAACCAUGAGAGUAAAUGUGUUUUUUGCUGUGUUUUUAUGGAAGAUUAUGAGUCCUAGUUGUCUAAUAAACAACUUUUGUGAAAGAAAUUGCAUGAAAAUACCUUUAAAAGGGGUAAAUUGCUAAGUUGUAAAAUGAGUUGUAAAUGUGUAAAAUAGUUGAAAUUAUGAGUUGCUAUAGUUAUGAAAAUGGUUCACCUAGACUCAAGGAGUAAAGAAAUGCGAUAAAAAUUAAUUUACGAGCAUUGGGGCAAAAGUGCAAAUAUGCAAAAGUUUAGGGGUCAAAAUGAAAAUUUGUAAAAAUAUGAUUUUUAGACCCAUAUGAAUAUUGUGACUGAUUGAGGCUAAAUGUGAUGUUAUAGAUGAUGAAAAUUGAGAUUUGGACCUAGAACGGAAAGAAAUCGAUUUAUGGACGAGUAUGUCUUUUCACCUUUGUGGUAUCGAGGUAAGUUCAUGUGUAAAUAAUGUAGCAUAAUUGUUAUUUUUAAGUUAUUGAUGUUAAAUAUAUGAUAUGCUAAUUUUUAUCAUGAAAUAUAUGCUUUGUGGUUAUUUUCGAAUAAAAUGCAAGUUAUGUGUAUUAUCUGUUAAAUAUAAAGUGCUACCGAGUAUUGGUUUCGGUAUUUUACGGAAGAUGGCAAGGAUAUGUGUUCGAGGAAAAUCCCGUUUGAACCUUAGGAAUAGAUUAGGAUACAAGUGACAUGUCACUAGGAUGGUUGAGCAUCCGAACUCGUUGAGUUGAGUCCGAGUUCACUUAUGGAUGCGAAUGUUCGAACUCGUUGAGUUGAGUCUGAGUUCGUGAGAUGUAACUAGGCAUCCGAGCUCGUUGAGUUGAGUCUAAGUUCACUUAUGGGCAGGUUACAUGGUAGCUUGGCUACAUAUGUGGCACUUAUGUGCAAAUUUUCCAUGUAUCCGAAUUAUAUUCCGAUGUGUUCAACGGGUAAAAUUCUAUUCAAAUGGAGGAAUACUCGAGAUGAAAGGGACGUAUUGGUAAAUGUUGUGAAAUGGAUACUUUGAACAGGUAUGUACUUAACCCUCGGGUUGAAAACUCGACAUAACAACAAUAUGGUAAGAUGGUAAAUGAAAAUGUGAUAUGAAUGUCUCGGUGAUGAUUAUACAAACGAUGUUGUAUUAAUUUUGUGAACAAUGAUCAUGAAUGAGUAAUUUAGCCUUGACAGAUUUGAGUUACUGCAGUAGUGUAACUUUGAAAAUACACUAAAAAUAGUGGAAAAUGAGUUAGAGGCAGAAUAAAAUAUGGGAUUAAAGCUCAAUGAGUCUAUUUUUACAUGAAAGAAACAGGGAAGAAAAAGAAUUCCAUAUUGUGUGAUAUUUGAAUUCUUGUGAAACAGGGUCUGAAUGAAUUCGAGAUCCCCUGUUCUAACUUUAUAAAUUCACCAAAAAUUGUACAAAAAUUACUAAGAGUUAUACCUUACAUGCAUAGAUUUCUUAUUGAGUCUAUUUUUAUAGAAAUAAACGGCACGGUCAUUGGAAUUUUUUACAGGGAGAAAUUCGGUUUGUAGUGCACAGGGGUCAGAGUGGUCAUACCCUGAAACAGGGGAGACUUUAACUAAUAAACUGUACUAUUUGGCUUAACCGAAAAUUCUGAAAAUUUUUUGGAAGAAAGGAAAAUAAGUCUAGUUUCAGGGAAAAUUAACAGAACUUAAUUUGGAGUUUCGUAGCUCCAUAUAUAAAUAAUUUAGUGACUGUUGCUCAGGAAGACAGCUUGUAGUGAACUUGAGAAUAUGUUGUAAACAUUGAUAAAACAAGUUAAUGAGUUGCUUAUUGUUUUCAUAUGAACUUACUAAGAGAAAGCUUACCCCCCUUCUUCACCAUGUUUUUUAGAGUUUCCAGGUUAGCUCGGGUUGGAGGCCGUCAGAGAUAUUAUCACCCUAUCGAGUUAACGUUAUCAGAGUAAGUAAACUCAAGUGAUUCGAGUCUAUGGCAUGUAUAGGGUUUUAAUGUGAGUAUGUAAUAUUAUGAUUUAGCCAAAGGCAUUGGCUUGUUAUUAAGGUAGUAUUAGUUAUGUAAAUUGGCCUAUGUCGGCUAAUAUUGUUAUGGGCCCAUAUGAUUAUUCUUAUGCAUUUAUGUUAUUAUUUCUUGUGAUGUGGCUUACAACAUGUAUGCCUAGAGAUUGAAUUGAGAUUCAUUGAUGAGCUAGUAACUAAUGCAGGAUUAAGUGAUUGGUAAAUAGUUAAUAAUGCUUCAUGAAUGGUUUGUGAUGUAAUGAUAGUUAUGUCUAGUAUGUGGUAAUGAUAUGGGCAAAUUCUAUAAUAUUUAUUGCAUAAGAAAAUAACUUAGCAUAACAUGUUUGUAGAUGUUUAAGAGCUCAUUUAUGUCACGUUGUAUGUUAUUGGAUAAGUAUGUAUCUAUGCAUAUGGUGUGAGAGUGAUAAAAGGCUUAAUAAUUAGCCUAUUUCUGGCCACACGGCCUGAGCACAUGGGCGUGUGAAGCCUUAACGCAAGAGAUUUUUUUAAGUUUUUCAUGAGUUCUCGAUUGGGUCCCGAACCACUCCAGAUGUAUGUUUUGGGCCUCACAAGCCCGUAUAUGGGACAGAUUGUAUGUGAAAAGAAAAGUUUUUAACUAUUUGAGAUUCCAUGGCCCUGUUUAGUAUGAAAGUGUUAGUAAAAGUCAGGUAGCACCUCGAACCCCGUCCUGGCGUCGGAUGCGGGCGAGGGGUGUUACAGGUUGGUACCAAUGUGGGUGAGGAAUAUGGCUUCGAAAGCAGCCUAUUUUUGUCCACACGGCUAGAGACACGAGCGUGUGUCUCAGCCGUGUGUGACACACGGCCAGGUGACACGGCCGUGUGUCCCUUGAUACUUCUUUUGAAACCAAGUCAAUAGCUUCACACGGCCUAGCACACGAGCAUGUGGCUUGGCAAUGUGGCACAAGUUAAUAUACCCUCCAGUUUUCACACGGCUUGGCACACGGGCGUGUGAGGCCAUUUUGAAGGGUACACGACCUGGCACACGGAUGUGUGGUGUGGCCGUGUGACCCAAGUCAGUGAGUUACACAAGGUCAGACACGGCUUGAAACACAGGGUGCCCCAUAGCCACACAGACCUGUACCCUGGCCACACGGGCGUGUGACCCUUGCACUUUGAAAAAUUUUCCAUGUUUUCUUAAAAAUUCGUAGAGAACUCGAUUUAGUCCCGAACCACUUCUAAUGUCUAUUUAGGGCCUCGAGGGCUCAUAUUAGAGACUGAAUAAAUGUAUUUGAAUAGUUUUUUAUAUGAAUGAUAAAUGUACAUGAGAUGUAUAAUUGUUUGACUUAUAAGUUUGAUAAUGCUCCGUACCCCUGUUCCGUCGUUGAAUACGGGUUAGGGGUGUUACAUUAUGACAGGAUAUAUCGAGAUCUUGCAUUUUUUAUGGAUCAUCAAGCAUUAUUUCUCCCUACAGAGACUUUGAUGUGGUAGAGGGAUGUAAUUAAAAAUGUUUAUACAUUUGAUUCUUACGAGCUUUGCAUUUUGGUGCCUUCGUGAAGUAUAGUUAAGCUCUUACAAGCUAUCUAAUGAGGUGUAGUUCACUCAUGUAUCCGAGUUUAUUUUACUAGGGUUCCAUUAGGAAAAAUGUUGAAAAUGGAUCUUAAAAUAAAAAAGUGAACUAAUUUAAUGUGUUAUUAUGAUUCGUGAUUCAAAUUGAAAUGGCUUGAUCUUGUAAAUUGAUGAUGUAAUAUGAAAUGGUAAUGAUCUUAAUAAAAGUAGAGAAAUUGGUGAUAAACCUAUAUGAAAUGGUGUAAAUUGGUAAUGUUUAUAUUACUUUUAUCAUGUUUAAUGCAUAUUAAUACUCAUGAUUUUUUUGUAUACCUUGUUGUGACUUAGAGUGUCAUGUGCUAGCUAAAUGUAUGCCUAAUUUGUGGUUAUAUCAUGCUCACCUAUGAGCAAGGUAUGUGUUUUAAUUCCAUUUGAACAUAUUAAGCAUUUAAAUGCUCACUCUAGUUGUUUCUCCUACUUGUAGAUCAUCAACUUGCGGAACUCUCAAAGCCGAAUCUUUGCAAAUGUCACACUAUCAUUGAAACGAUAGAAAUAUGUUCAUUUUGGUUCCUAAAGUUGUGUCAUGUAUAUAGGAUCAUUGUGUUUUAUAAUGGUCAUCCUUAAUUAUGACUGCUUAUGUUAUGUUAAUGGACAAGACUAUGUUGUUUGCUAAGUUUAUAUAUGG